GGAAUAUUGGACAAUGGGGGGAACCCUGAUCCAGCGACGCCGCGUGAGUGAAGAAGUAUCUCGGUAUGUAAAGCUCUAUCAGCAGGGAAGAAAGAAAUGACGGUACCUGACUAAGAAGCCUCGGCUAACUACGUGCCAGCAGCCGCGGUAAUACGUAGGGGGCAAGCGUUAUCCGGAUUUAGUGGGUGUAAAGGGAGCGUAGACGGCAGCACAAGUCUGGAGUGAAAUCCCGGGGCUUAACCCCGGAACUGCUUUGGAAACUGUGCGGCUGGAGUGCAGGAGGGGUAAGCGGAAUUCCUAGUGUAGCGGUGAAAUGCGUAGAUAUUAGGAGGAACACCGGUGGCGAAGGCGGCUUACUGGACUGUAACUGACGUUGAGGCUCGAAAGCGUGGGGAGCAAA
This 400-nucleotide ribosomal RNA is filed under the name uncultured bacterium. Its description in RNAcentral is "bacterial SSU rRNA". It matches the Rfam family "Bacterial small subunit ribosomal RNA", at positions 358 to 772 of the family's 1533-position model. The record is from RNAcentral.